GACGAACGCUGGCGGCGUGCUUAACACAUGCAAGUCGAACGGAAAGGCCCUGCUUUUGUGGGGUUCUCGAUUGGCGAACGGGUGAGUAACACGUGAGUAACCUGCCCUUGACUUUGGGAUAACUUCAGGAAACUGGGGCUAAUACCGGAUAGGAGCUCCUGCUGCAUGGUGGUGGUUGGAAAGUUUCGGCGGUUGGGGAUGGACUCGCGGCUUAUCAGCUUGUUGGUGGGGUAGUGGCUUACCAAGGCUUUGACGGGUAGCCGGCCUGAGAGGGUGACCGGCCACAUUGGGCCUGAGAUACGGACCAGAAUCCUACGGGAGGCAGCAGUGGGGAAUAUUGCACAAUGGGCGGAAGCCUGAUGCAGAAACGCCGCGUGCGGGAUGACGGCCUUCGGGUUGUAAACCGAUUUCGCCUGUGACGAAGCGUGAGUGACGGUAAUGGGUAAAGAAGCAACGGCUAACUACGUG
RNAcentral lists this ribosomal RNA (468 nucleotides) under uncultured bacterium. RNAcentral's name for it is "partial 16S ribosomal RNA". It matches the Rfam family "Bacterial small subunit ribosomal RNA", at positions 28 to 507 of the family's 1533-position model. The record is from RNAcentral.